UACGUAGGGUGCAAGCGUUAAUCGGAAUUACUGGGCGUAAAGCGUGCGCAGGCGGUUUUGUAAGUCUGACGUGAAAUCCCCGGGCUUAACCUGGGAAUUGCGUUGGAGACUGCAAGGCUGGAGUCUGGCAGAGGGGGGUAGAAUUCCACGUGUAGCAGUGGAAUGCGUAGAGAUGUGGAGGAACACCGAUGGCGAAGGCAGCCCCCUGGGUCAAGACUGACGCUCAUGCACGAAAGCGUGGGGAGCAAACAGG
This 253-nucleotide ribosomal RNA is filed under the name uncultured bacterium. RNAcentral's name for it is "partial 16S ribosomal RNA". It matches the Rfam family "Bacterial small subunit ribosomal RNA", at positions 524 to 776 of the family's 1533-position model. The record is from RNAcentral.